AACGAACGCUGGCGGCAUGCCUAACACAUGCAAGUCGAACGAGACCUUCGGGUCUAGUGGCGCACGGGUGCGUAACGCAUGGGAACCUGCCCUUAGGUUCGGAAUAACUCCCCGAAAGGGGUGCUAAUACCGGAUAAUGUCUUCGGACCAAAGAUUUAUCGCCUUUGGAUGGGCCCGCGUUGGAUUAGCUAGUUGGUAGGGUAAAAGCCUACCAAGGCGACGAUCCAUAGCUGGUCUGAGAGGAUGAUCAGCCACACUGGGACUGAGACACGGCCCAGACUUCUACGGGAGGCAGCAGUGGGGGAUAUUGGACAAUGGGCGAAAGCCUGAUCCAGCAAUGCCGCGUGAGUGAUGAAGGCCUUAGGGUUGUAAAGCUCUUUUACCCGGGAUGAUAAUGACAGUACCGGGAGAAUAAGCUCCGGCUAACUCCGUG
Molecule: ribosomal RNA, 433 nt
Filed under: uncultured bacterium
Lineage: Bacteria
Description: partial 16S ribosomal RNA
Rfam family: Bacterial small subunit ribosomal RNA
Source: RNAcentral